UACGUAGGGAGCAAGCGUUAUCCGGAUUUAUUGGGUGUAAAGGGUGCGUAGACGGGAAGGCAAGUUGGUUGUGAAAUCCCUCGGCUUAACUGAGGAACUGCAACCAAAACUAUCUUUCUUGAGUGCUGGAGAGGAAAGUGGAAUUCCUAGUGUAGCGGUGAAAUGCGUAGAUAUUAGGAGGAACACCAGUGGCGAAGGCGACUUUCUGGACAGCAACUGACGUUGAGGCACGAAAGUGUGGGGAGCAAACAGG
RNAcentral lists this ribosomal RNA (253 nucleotides) under uncultured bacterium. Its description in RNAcentral is "partial 16S ribosomal RNA". It matches the Rfam family "Bacterial small subunit ribosomal RNA", at positions 524 to 776 of the family's 1533-position model. The record is from RNAcentral.